AUUGAACGCUGGCGGCAGGCUUAACACAUGCAAGUCGAACGGUAACAUAAGAAAAGCUUGCUUUUUUUGAUGACGAGUGGCGGACGGGUGAGUAAUGCUUGGGAAUCUGCCUUAUGGAGGGGGAUAACUACGGGAAACUGUAGCUAAUACCGCAUAAUAUCUACGGAUUAAAGUGUGGGAUCUUCGGACCACAUACCAUAAGAUGAGCCCAAGUGAGAUUAGGUAGUUGGUGAGGUAAAGGCUCACCAAGCUGACGAUCUCUAGCUGGUUUGAGAGGAUGACCAGCCACACUGGGACUGAGACACGGCCCAGACUCCUACGGGAGGCAGCAGUGGGGAAUAUUGCACAAUGGGCGCAAGCCUGAUGCAGCCAUGCCGCGUGAAUGAAGAAGGCUUUCGGGUUGUAAAGUUCUUUCAUUAGUGAGAAAGGUGCAAAUGUUAAUAGCAUUUGUAAUUGAUGUUAGCUAAAGAAGAAGCACCGGCUAACUCCGUGCCAGCAGCCGCGGUAAUACGGAGGGUGCGAGCGUUAAUCGGAAUAACUGGGCGUAAAGGGCAUGCAGGCGGUUACUUAAGUCAGAUGUGAAAGCCCCGAGCUUAACUUGGGAAUUGCAUUUGAAACUGGGUAACUAGAGUCCUCUAGGGAGGGGUAGAAUUCCACGUGUAGCGGUGAAAUGCGUAGAGAUGUGGAGGAAUACUGAAGGCGAAGGCAGCCCCUUGGGAAUAUACUGACGCUCAUGUGCGAAAGCGUGGGGAGCAAACAGG
Molecule: ribosomal RNA, 761 nt
Filed under: uncultured bacterium
Lineage: Bacteria
Description: bacterial SSU rRNA
Rfam family: Bacterial small subunit ribosomal RNA
Source: RNAcentral